RNAcentral lists this non-coding RNA (218 nucleotides) under Clostridium cadaveris. RNAcentral's name for it is "T-box sequence". It matches the Rfam family "T-box leader". From Rfam's summary of the family: Uncharged tRNA acts as the effector for transcription antitermination of genes in the T-box leader family. The record is from RNAcentral. Lineage: Bacteria; Bacillati; Bacillota; Clostridia; Eubacteriales; Clostridiaceae.
AUAACAACAGUGAUGAAGAGAGUAGAUAAAUUUGUCUUUUUCAGGGAGAAAAAAUCAUAGACUGAAAAUUUUUUCAUAAGAUAUUUUAUUGAAGUUCACUUCGGAGUUCUAAGAAUGAAAUUAAUAGUAGUUCUUAGCGGUUUAUACCGUUAUUUAUAUCUAGAGAGAAUUUUGUGAAAUUAACUAGGGUGGUACCGCGGAGUAAGUUCGUCCCUUUA